RNAcentral lists this long non-coding RNA (250 nucleotides) under Mytilus galloprovincialis (Mediterranean mussel). Lineage: Eukaryota; Metazoa; Mollusca; Bivalvia; Mytilida; Mytilidae. The record is from RNAcentral.
UUCCGGAAACGUUGUAUUGUCUUAACCAUGAUUGUUGUGAUGAUUACAUGUAUCAGCCUCUUUUGGCGUUUGAAUCCAAAGUAAAAGGAUCACAAAUUGAAAGCUCUUCGACUUCGUUUUAUUUUCAAUAUAGAUCAAUAUAUAUACUUGUCUUUAGUCCCCCAAACCUAAGUCAGGUAUAUUAAUUGGUGGAGGACCCGGUCCGGACCCGGUCCCCCAAACCUAAGUCAGGUAUAUUACAUUUCUGGCG